GGCGAGCUCAGUUGGUAGAGCAUGAGACUUUUAAUCUCAGGGUCGUGGGUUCGAGCCCCAUGUUGGGUGCCA
This 72-nucleotide transfer RNA is filed under the name Oryctolagus cuniculus (rabbit). RNAcentral's name for it is "tRNA-Lys (TTT) (tRNA-Lys-TTT-9-1)". The stretch from base 5 to 61 matches the Rfam family "tRNA", at positions 9 to 63 of the family's 71-position model. From Rfam's summary of the family: Transfer RNA (tRNA) molecules are approximately 80 nucleotides in length. Their secondary structure includes four short double-helical elements and three loops (D, anti-codon, and T loops). Further hydrogen bonds mediate the characteristic L-shaped molecular structure. tRNAs have two regions of fundamental functional importance: the anti-codon, which is responsible for specific mRNA codon recognition, and the 3' end, to which the tRNAs corresponding amino acid is attached (by aminoacyl-tRNA synthetases). tRNAs cope with the degeneracy of the genetic code in two manners: having more than one tRNA (with a specific anti-codon) for a particular amino acid; and 'wobble' base-pairing, i.e. permitting non-standard base-pairing at the 3rd anti-codon position. The record is from RNAcentral. Lineage: Eukaryota; Metazoa; Chordata; Mammalia; Lagomorpha; Leporidae.